This 2351-nucleotide ribosomal RNA is filed under the name Escherichia coli. RNAcentral's name for it is "partial 23S ribosomal RNA". It matches the Rfam family "Bacterial large subunit ribosomal RNA", at positions 612 to 2925 of the family's 2925-position model. The record is from RNAcentral. Lineage: Bacteria; Pseudomonadati; Pseudomonadota; Gammaproteobacteria; Enterobacterales; Enterobacteriaceae.
AUAAUGGGUCAGCGACUUAUAUUCUGUAGCAAGGUUAACCGAAUAGGGGAGCCGAAGGGAAACCGAGUCUUAACUGGGCGUUAAGUUGCAGGGUAUAGACCCGAAACCCGGUGAUCUAGCCAUGGGCAGGUUGAAGGUUGGGUAACACUAACUGGAGGACCGAACCGACUAAUGUUGAAAAAUUAGCGGAUGACUUGUGGCUGGGGGUGAAAGGCCAAUCAAACCGGGAGAUAGCUGGUUCUCCCCGAAAGCUAUUUAGGUAGCGCCUCGUGAAUUCAUCUCCGGGGGUAGAGCACUGUUUCGGCAAGGGGGUCAUCCCGACUUACCAACCCGAUGCAAACUGCGAAUACCGGAGAAUGUUAUCACGGGAGACACACGGCGGGUGCUAACGUCCGUCGUGAAGAGGGAAACAACCCAGACCGCCAGCUAAGGUCCCAAAGUCAUGGUUAAGUGGGAAACGAUGUGGGAAGGCCCAGACAGCCAGGAUGUUGGCUUAGAAGCAGCCAUCAUUUAAAGAAAGCGUAAUAGCUCACUGGUCGAGUCGGCCUGCGCGGAAGAUGUAACGGGGCUAAACCAUGCACCGAAGCUGCGGCAGCGACGCUUAUGCGUUGUUGGGUAGGGGAGCGUUCUGUAAGCCUGUGAAGGUGUACUGUGAGGUAUGCUGGAGGUAUCAGAAGUGCGAAUGCUGACAUAAGUAACGAUAAAGCGGGUGAAAAGCCCGCUCGCCGGAAGACCAAGGGUUCCUGUCCAACGUUAAUCGGGGCAGGGUGAGUCGACCCCUAAGGCGAGGCCGAAAGGCGUAGUCGAUGGGAAACAGGUUAAUAUUCCUGUACUUGGUGUUACUGCGAAGGGGGGACGGAGAAGGCUAUGUUGGCCGGGCGACGGUUGUCCCGGUUUAAGCGUGUAGGCUGGUUUUCCAGGCAAAUCCGGAAAAUCAAGGCUGAGGCGUGAUGACGAGGCACUACGGUGCUGAAGCAACAAAUGCCCUGCUUCCAGGAAAAGCCUCUAAGCAUCAGGUAACAUCAAAUCGUACCCCAAACCGACACAGGUGGUCAGGUAGAGAAUACCAAGGCGCUUGAGAGAACUCGGGUGAAGGAACUAGGCAAAAUGGUGCCGUAACUUCGGGAGAAGGCACGCUGAUAUGUAGGUGAAGUCCCUCGCGGAUGGAGCUGAAAUCAGUCGAAGAUACCAGCUGGCUGCAACUGUUUAUUAAAAACACAGCACUGUGCAAACACGAAAGUGGACGUAUACGGUGUGACGCCUGCCCGGUGCCGGAAGGUUAAUUGAUGGGGUCAGCGCAAGCGAAGCUCUUGAUCGAAGCCCCGGUAAACGGCGGCCGUAACUAUAACGGUCCUAAGGUAGCGAAAUUCCUUGUCGGGUAAGUUCCGACCUGCACGAAUGGCGUAAUGAUGGCCAGGCUGUCUCCACCCGAGACUCAGUGAAAUUGAACUCGCUGUGAAGAUGCAGUGUACCCGCGGCAAGACGGAAAGACCCCGUGAACCUUUACUAUAGCUUGACACUGAACAUUGAGCCUUGAUGUGUAGGAUAGGUGGGAGGCUUUGAAGUGUGGACGCCAGUCUGCAUGGAGCCGACCUUGAAAUACCACCCUUUAAUGUUUGAUGUUCUAACGUUGACCCGUGAUCCGGGUUGCGGACAGUGUCUGGUGGGUAGUUUGACUGGGGCGGUCUCCUCCUAAAGAGUAACGGAGGAGCACGAAGGUUGGCUAAUCCUGGUCGGACAUCAGGAGGUUAGUGCAAUGGCAUAAGCCAGCUUGACUGCGAGCGUGACGGCGCGAGCAGGUGCGAAAGCAGGUCAUAGUGAUCCGGUGGUUCUGAAUGGAAGGGCCAUCGCUCAACGGAUAAAAGGUACUCCGGGGAUAACAGGCUGAUACCGCCCAAGAGUUCAUAUCGACGGCGGUGUUUGGCACCUCGAUGUCGGCUCAUCACAUCCUGGGGCUGAAGUAGGUCCCAAGGGUAUGGCUGUUCGCCAUUUAAAGUGGUACGCGAGCUGGGUUUAGAACGUCGUGAGACAGUUCGGUCCCUAUCUGCCGUGGGCGCUGGAGAACUGAGGGGGGCUGCUCCUAGUACGAGAGGACCGGAGUGGACGCAUCACUGGUGUUCGGGUUGUCAUGCCAAUGGCACUGCCCGGUAGCUAAAUGCGGAAGAGAUAAGUGCUGAAAGCAUCUAAGCACGAAACUUGCCCCGAGAUGAGUUCUCCCUGACUCCUUGAGAGUCCUGAAGGAACGUUGAAGACGACGACGUUGAUAGGCCGGGUGUGUAAGCGCAGCGAUGCGUUGAGCUAACCGGUACUAAUGAACCGUGAGGCUUAACCUUACAACGCCGAAGGUGUUU